Small nuclear RNA from Rattus norvegicus (Norway rat), 93 nucleotides. The record is from Ensembl. Lineage: Eukaryota; Metazoa; Chordata; Mammalia; Rodentia; Muridae.
GUGCUCGCUUUGGCAGCACAUACGAUAGAGAGAAAAUUAACGUGGCCCCUGCCCAAGGAUGACAUGCAAAUCCGGAAAGCGGUCCAUAUUUUA